GUGCGUCAAUCUGUUGCGGCCAAUCUCCUAUUGUGUUCGUUGUCGGAGAAGAGCACAUGCAAAAAGAAGUCCGCACUGACUGAAAUUAUAUCCGGCGGGGAUCCUCUGAUACUUAAGUCAGUGAGGAGUGGUGAAUAGCAGAUAAAAUAUUCAAAGUGACAAAGUAUUAAUCCAGAAUUGUCCUUAUCCAAAUGCUGUUCAUUUACCUCUUUUUAUAGAUGAGUUACUGG
RNAcentral lists this long non-coding RNA (230 nucleotides) under Elaeis guineensis (African oil palm). RNAcentral describes it as "long non-coding RNA (EGUI_LNC026861)". Lineage: Eukaryota; Viridiplantae; Streptophyta; Magnoliopsida; Arecales; Arecaceae. The record is from RNAcentral.